Molecule: ribosomal RNA, 484 nt
Filed under: uncultured bacterium
Lineage: Bacteria
Description: partial 16S ribosomal RNA
Rfam family: Bacterial small subunit ribosomal RNA
Source: RNAcentral
AUUGAACGCUGGCGGAAUGCUUUACACAUGCAAGUCGAGCGGCAGCGCGGCCUUCGGGCUGGCGGCGAGCGGCGAACGGGUGAGUAAUGCAUCGGAACAUGCCCAGUCGUGGGGGAUAACACUUCGAAAGAAGUGCUAAUACCGCAUACGUCCUGAGGGGGAAAGCGGGGGAUCGCAAGACCUCGCGCGAUUGGAGUGGCCGAUGUCAGAUUAGCUAGUUGGUGGGGUAAAGGCCUACCAAGGCGACGAUCUGUAGCUGGUCUGAGAGGAUGAUCAGCCACACUGGGACUGAGACACGGCCCAGACUCCUACGGGAGGCAGCAGUGGGGAAUUUUGGACAAUGGGGGCAACCCUGAUCCAGCCAUGCCGCGUGAGUGAAGAAGGCCUUCGGGUUGUAAAGCUCUUUCGGCAGGAAAGGAACGGUGGGCUCUAACAUAGUCCGCUAAUGACGGUACCUGAAGAAGAAGCACCGGCUAACUACGUG